GCCGCCUCUAACCCCCCUUCCCAUUCUCUCCAACUCUCUCAAAGUUUCUCAAACCUUAGCCUCCUCCCACCACUUCCACCCUAAAAUUACUGGAAUCCAUGGCUUCCUAUGCCAUCAGUGUUUUACACCAACCUCCUAUGACUCCCACAUGCCUGAUUUCUAAGGAUUCAAACCACGAAGAAUCUUGGUCCAGGCUUCGUUUGAUUCAUGAUCUAUGGCCACCUACGACCUGCUCCGGCAAACCAUGGUUGUUCGAGCGUGAACUCGACCUCUCCUGCUUAUAUCAGUGACUUUUCCAAGCCUUUCUCACUACUGGGGUUCUUCUGAAACCCUAACCUUUUGAGGUUUUUCUGAUCCAUUGUAUAUCUAUGUUUUCCCUAAGCUUUUAAAAGUUUUUUCUAGCUUUUCUUCCAAAAAACUUACUUUUAAAAUCGUUUCUUUUCCGAUCUAGGGUUCUCUAAAAAGUAUUUAAAUGUUUUUCUAACUUUCUUUUUCUUCUAUUUUUAUGUGUAUCUGCCUCUACUGUAUUCUUGUUUUUUCUUCUACGGUGUUCUUAUAUGCUUCUUCUACAAUGUUCUUUGUAUGUUUCUUCUACGGUAUUCUUGUAUGCUUCUUCUACUGUAUUUUCCUAUACUGUGUUCUCGUGUGCUUUAUCUACUGUAUUUUUCUCUACUUUGUUCUUGUGUUUUUCUCCUACUGUAUUUUCCAUUAGUAUGUCCUUAAGUGUUCUUAUUAAGUUCCACCUACUGAGCUCUGUUUAAGUUUCUUCUAGAACUUCUUAGCAUGCUUCUUUUAUGGUUCUUAUCAAUUUUUCCCAUUAUGUUUCGUAUUAGCUUCUUCUACUCUAAUUUCUUUGAGCUCUUCUACUGUGUUUUGCAUGUCACUUUUCUAUCAUGUUUUCUUAUGAGUUUUUGUUGUUAAAAGCGACAUGUUAGAGGUUUCAGCCUUUUUUUGAGGCCUCUGAACUUGUUUCUAUUUAAUUACUUUCCCUCUCAACUCCGCACUCGAUUAAAGGUGGAAACCCUAGAAUUUGGGGUUCUUCCAAGUUUGGUUAUGUGGUUUUCUUGAAC
RNAcentral lists this long non-coding RNA (1070 nucleotides) under Nicotiana benthamiana. Its description in RNAcentral is "long non-coding RNA (NBEN_LNC014551)". Lineage: Eukaryota; Viridiplantae; Streptophyta; Magnoliopsida; Solanales; Solanaceae. The record is from RNAcentral.